CCGCGCUGGACCGUGUACAAGUCUCCUGGAAGGGAGCGUCAUAGAGGGUGAGAAUCCCGUCUCUGACACGGACGACCAGUGCUGUGUGAUGCGCUCUCGACGAGUCGAGUUGUUUGGGAAUGCAGCUCUAAUUGGGUGGUAAAUUCCAUCUAAAGCUAAAUACAGGCGAGAGACCGAUAGCGAACAAGUACCGUGAGGGAAAGAUGAAAAGAACUUUGGAAAGAGAGUUAAACAGUACGUGAAAUUGCUGAAAGGGAAACGCUUGAUGUCAGUCGCGUCUGCUGGGGAUCAACCUUGCGUUUGCUGGGUGUACUUCCUGGUCGACGGGUCAGCAUCAGUUUUCGUCGUCAUACAAGGGCGAACGGAACGUGGCACUCUUCGGGGUGUGUUAUAGCCUUUCGUCGUAUGUGACGGGUGGGGACUGAGGAACUCAGCACGGGCGACCUGUGCUUAGGAUGCUGGCAUAAUGGCCUUAAGCGACCCGUCUUGAAACACGGACCAAGGAGUCUAACAUGCGUGCGAGUGUUUGGGUGGUAAACUCGAGCGCGAAAUGAAAGUGAAAGUUGAGACCUCUUCGAGGGCAUCGACGCCCGGACCUGAGUCUUUGACGACGGCUCUGCGGUAGAGCAUGCAUGUUGGGACCCGAAAGAUGGUGAACUAUGCCUGAAUAGGGCGAAGCCAGAGGAAACUCUUGGUGGGAGGCUCGUA
This 708-nucleotide ribosomal RNA is filed under the name Chalciporus aff. amarellus G3299. Its description in RNAcentral is "eukaryotic LSU rRNA". It matches the Rfam family "Eukaryotic large subunit ribosomal RNA", at positions 165 to 879 of the family's 3401-position model. Lineage: Eukaryota; Fungi; Basidiomycota; Agaricomycetes; Boletales; Boletaceae. The record is from RNAcentral.